AACGUAGGAGGCAAGCGUUAUCCGGAUUUACUGGGUGUAAAGCGCGUGCAGGCGGUCUGUCAAGUCGCGUGUGAAAGCGCCCGGCUCAACCGGGCGAGGCCGCGCGAAACUGACAAACUGGAGGCCGGUAGAGGCGUGUGGAAUUCCGGGUGUAGUGGUGAAAUGCGUAGAGAUCCGGAGGAACACCAGUGGCGAAGGCGACACGCUGGACCGAGCCUGACGCUCAGACGCGACAGCAUGGGGAGCGAAC
RNAcentral lists this ribosomal RNA (250 nucleotides) under uncultured bacterium. RNAcentral's name for it is "partial 16S ribosomal RNA". It matches the Rfam family "Bacterial small subunit ribosomal RNA", at positions 524 to 773 of the family's 1533-position model. The record is from RNAcentral.